GCGGAAGUGGCGGAAUUGGUAGACGCGCUAGAUUUAGGUUCUAGUACCGUAAGGUGUGAGAGUUCAAGUCUCUCCUUCCGCACCA
RNAcentral lists this transfer RNA (85 nucleotides) under Celerinatantimonas diazotrophica. Its description in RNAcentral is "tRNA-Leu". It matches the Rfam family "tRNA". From Rfam's summary of the family: Transfer RNA (tRNA) molecules are approximately 80 nucleotides in length. Their secondary structure includes four short double-helical elements and three loops (D, anti-codon, and T loops). Lineage: Bacteria; Pseudomonadati; Pseudomonadota; Gammaproteobacteria; Celerinatantimonadaceae. The record is from RNAcentral.